This 263-nucleotide ribosomal RNA is filed under the name uncultured bacterium. RNAcentral describes it as "partial 16S ribosomal RNA". It matches the Rfam family "Bacterial small subunit ribosomal RNA", at positions 793 to 1055 of the family's 1533-position model. The record is from RNAcentral.
GUCCACGCCGUAAACGAUGAAUACUAGGUGUAGGAGGUAUCGACUCCUUCUGUGCCGCAGUUAACACAAUAAGUAUUCCGCCUGGGGAGUACGGUCGCAAGAUUAAAACUCAAAGGAAUUGACGGGGGCCCCGCACAAGCAGCGGAGCAUGUGGUUUAAUUCGAAGCAACGCGAAGAACCUUACCUAGACUUGACAUCUCCUGAAUUACCUGUAAUGAGGGAAGCCCUUCGGGGCAGGAAGACAGGUGGUGCAUGGUUGUCGU